RNAcentral lists this ribosomal RNA (483 nucleotides) under uncultured bacterium. RNAcentral describes it as "partial 16S ribosomal RNA". It matches the Rfam family "Bacterial small subunit ribosomal RNA", at positions 30 to 507 of the family's 1533-position model. The record is from RNAcentral.
AUUGAACGCUGGCGGCAGGCCUAACACAUGCAAGUCGAGCGGAUGAAGGGAGCUUGCUCCUGGAUUCAGCGGCGGACGGGUGAGUAAUGCCUAGGAAUCUGCCUGGUAGUGGGGGAUAACGUCCGGAAACGGGCGCUAAUACCGCAUACGUCCUGGGGAGAAAGUGGGGGAUCUUCGGACCUCACGCUAUCAGAUGAGCCUAGGUCGGAUUAGCUAGUUGGUGGGGUAAAGGCCUACCAAGGCGACGAUCCGUAACUGGUCUGAGAGGAUGAUCAGUCACACUGGAACUGAGACACGGUCCAGACUCCUACGGGAGGCAGCAGUGGGGAAUAUUGGACAAUGGGCGAAAGCCUGAUCCAGCCAUGCCGCGUGUGUGAAGAAGGUCUUCGGAUUGUAAAGCACUUUAAGUUGGGAGGAAGGGCAGUAAGUUAAUACCUUGCUGUUUUGACGUUACCAACAGAAUAAGCACCGGCUAACUUCGUG